AUGGAGUUGAUGGCCACCUCAUACUUUAAGGAGGUGUUCACAAAGGACCCGACCCUCUCCCCGGAGGCGGUCCUGGAGAGGAUAACACCAAAAGUUACACAAGAGAUGAACACAACUUUGUGUAGGCCGUUCACUGUGGAAGAGGUGUCCGAUGCGCUGUUCCAAAUUGGACCGCUAAAAGCACCAUGUACGGAUGGGUUUCCUGCUCGGUUCUAUCAGCGGAAUUGGGCUGUUAUGAAGGGGGAGAUUACAGCGGCAGUUAUGGAAUUUUUUGAUACAGGAGUCAUGCCGGAGGGUGUGAAUGAUACGGCUAUUGUACUAAUUCCGAAGGUUCGGCUUCCUAAGGAGCUCAAGGAUUUUAGUCCAAUAAGUUUGUGUAACGUGAUCUACAAGAUUGUGUCUAAGUGCUUGGUGAACCGGCUACGUCCUCUGUUGGCGGAACUAAUUUCAGAAAACCAAAGUGCUUUUAUACCCGGCUGGCUUAUCUCGGAUAACUCGAUCAUAGCUUUUGAGUGUAUCAAUCAUAUUCAGACUCUCAAGAAUAAUAAUCCAGUUGCAUGUGCAUACAGGUUGGACUUGUCUGAGGCUUAUGACCGGGUGGAUUGGGACUUCCUAGAGAAGGCCUUAGGCAGAUGGGGUUUCUCUGCAACGUGGAUCAAGUGGAUGAUGGCUUGUGUAAAAUCGGUCACAUAUUCUAUGAAAUUUAAUGGAAAGUUGCUUGAGGUUUUCUCCCCGUCAAGAGGGCUUCGACAAGGUGAUCCGCUGUCCCCAUUUCUAUUUCUUUUUGUCGCUGACGCCUUGUCUGCUCUAAUUACCAGCUCUGUUGAGAGUGGUGAAUUAAGGGGAGUGACCAUUUGUCGAGGUGCUCCGGUGAUAUCCCACUUACUAUUUGCGGAUGAUACAUUAUUGUUCUUUGAGGCUUCGAGCCAGCAAGCUAGCAUUGUCAACGGUUUGUUGAACACUUACAUUUCAGCGAUGGGUCAACUUAUAAACCCCGAAAAGUGUUCCAUCCUCUUCUCUGACAACUACAAUGCGGUGGUGGCGGAUGAGGUAAAAGGCAUUUUGGAAGUUUCCCAACAAGUAUUUGAUCCCAAAUACCUGGGCUUACCGGUGCCAGAAGGAAGAGUUCACAAAGGACAAUUCGAAACACUUCAGGAAAGAUUGAGAGCAAGGUUGAUAGAUUGGAGUGAACAGUUUGUAUCUUUGGGGAACAAGGAAAUCUUGAUUAAGUCUGUUGCACAUGCCAUCCCUACAUAUGUUAUGAGUAUCUUCAGGUUAGCUGCGUCAGUUUGCGAUGACUUGACAAGGAUGAUGAGGCAGUACUGGUGGGGGGUGGAGAAUGGUAAGAGGGAGAUGGCCUGGCUUAGUUGGAAGAAGAUGGUGGUUCCAAAGUCUAUGGGGGGCAUGGGCUUCCAUGACAUGAGAGCUUUCAAUCAUGCCCUGCUUGCUAAGCAGGCAUGGCGUCUGUUGGAUUGCCCAAAUAUCCUGUGUGCACGACUUCUUAGAGCAAAAUAUUACCCCCAUGGUAAUUUGUUGGAUACAGUGUUUCCGACCAGCUCGUCUGCAUUUUGGAAGGGGAUUGUACAUGGUCUUGAGUAG
RNAcentral lists this ribosomal RNA (1599 nucleotides) under Triticum aestivum (bread wheat). RNAcentral's name for it is "partial small subunit ribosomal RNA". The record is from RNAcentral. Lineage: Eukaryota; Viridiplantae; Streptophyta; Magnoliopsida; Poales; Poaceae.